Long non-coding RNA from Oreochromis niloticus (Nile tilapia), 5449 nucleotides. Lineage: Eukaryota; Metazoa; Chordata; Actinopteri; Cichliformes; Cichlidae. The record is from Ensembl.
AUGACCUCGAGAAGCAACCCCAGAACAGAACAAUAUUGAAAUUGUUUUUUGGACUGUUGGGUGGAUACCUCAUUGCCAUAACUGGCCACCGAAAGGGAGUGGUCAUCAACAUGACUACUGAGGAGGUUGAAAUGGCAGAAAAAACUAAGCAGGGUGCCCGCAUCAUCCGUGUAAGUAGGAAAACUAUAAAAAUCCAAGUAUACAUUGUUUAGUCACCUGCUCAGAGAGAAUAAACAUGUCUUUUCAUGUAUUAGGUUAAACAGCACAAAACUCAAAGAUACCAUGGGGAAGCAGCUGUCCCCCUGUACAAGAAUGAGUAUACCUGGUUGCAGCGUUACAAUCAUAUUAGAGAGUAUAUUGAAGGGGGUUCGGAGGCAUCAACUUUUUUCCACAGUUCCAGUGGAGGUGUUCUUCAUAGACUACUGGAAUUUUUCAAGGCAGCCUGGGAGAUGAUGAAUCUGGGGAUUGCCCCCACCUUCAACAUGAUACGUUCCUCCUGUAGCACUUACGCCAAGCGACAGUUGGGACGUAAAUCUUAUGACAGAGUGGCAACGUUUAUGUGCCAUGAUGCCAUCACAGCCAAAAGAUUUUACCAAGGUUAUUUAAACAAGCUAAAGUGAAGUCAUAUAUUUAUCUAUACACUUACAUUUAUUCAUAUUUAGUAAUAUUGCUUUGCACAGCUGAGGACCCUGCAGAGGACACACUCCAGAGCCGAGCACUGACCACCCAUGCAAUUGCAACAUAUGCAGCAAAGAAAAGGAAAAGGACAGAGGACAGAGGAUCUGUGCAGGACAAGGACAGUGAAGGAUCUGACAAGGAAGAGCAGCAGUCAUCAGGAACAGAGGAGCUUUUAGACAGAAGGCUCUUCCAGUGUAACAGUAACAAGAUGGUCAUCUUUUACAAAAAUGAUAGGACAGGUGUGGGGAAACUCACACAAGAAGACAAUCCACAAGAGGAGGAGGAGGAUGAAGCGAGAGAAUGGGUUCCUAAGCAGUCUGUUAGCUCAUCUGAAGAUGAUGGGACAGAUGACUGGACACCCACACAGGAUGAAUCUGAAGGCUAUUCAGAAGAGGAGGAAGAACAAGAACAUAAAAGGAUUCCUAAGGUAGCCAAGAAAAACAAAACUGGGUGUCCUGUGCCACAAAGAGAGAUGGCAGCAGCAUCUGAAGAGGAUGGGACACAUGAUAGCAGACCCACACAGGAUGAUUCAAAGGAUGAAGCAGAACAUUUGGGACAAAUGAUUCACAAAGUGUCCAUGGAAAAGGACAGGGAAACGGCGAUAAGCUUAUUACCAGUACAACACCAAAUUCCAGUUGUUACUCUGAAUUCAGUCACUCUCAAGACACCCAUGAUGCAGCAGGCCUAUGUAAACCAAGACACAGCAAGGACUGUGAAUAAGAGUUCAGAAAAAAGUGUGAUUCACCAAACCAGUUACUUGAAGAGGCUCAUUUUUCAUCAGUCAACUCUCUUUGAAGACACCAUACCAAGAUCUGAUAACAACAAGAAAGACCAAAGUGGAAUGUCAUCUGCAGCAAUAAUAACCUCAGAACAACUGGAAGAGAAAGAGAUACAAGAAGAAUCUCUGGAGAAGAUGAAGUGUGAAGACAAAGGAGGGAAGAGAAAAGAAAAAGUACAGCAGGAGCCUCUGGAGAAGAUGAGGGGCAAAAGGCAAAGGAAGGAAGAAAAGAUACAGGCAGAGCCUCUGGAGAAGAUGAAGAGUGAAGCCAAAGUAGGAAAGAGAAAAGAAAAAGUACAGCAGGAGCCUCUGGAGAAGAUGAGGAGCAAAAGGCAAAGGAAGGAAGAAAAGAUACAGGCAGAGCCUCUGGAGAAGAGAAUUAAGAUUAUGAAAUAAAAGAAGGAAAAAUCCACAGAGUUCUCAAAGAAAUGGCGAGAGAAAGUCUCAGAAAAUAAGGUGCAUGAAAGAGUUGUUAAUUAAAAGUGAUCAUCUAAUGAGUUACUGUCAUGUUUAUUUUCUGGAAUCACUGGUGCUCUCAGACUUGACAUUAUAUAAUUCCACCAUAUGUGAGAUCAGUCAAAUUAAGAAAGGAAUCAAAAUAGCUAUACCAAUGGCUGCAGAAAAGUGACAGUGGUCAAACAACAUCAUUGAGCAUGACAAAACACUUUUGAAGACAGCAGUCUCCAGAUACCUCAUCAUUGAAGACAAAUGACACACAUCUAUUGUGGAGAAAAUUCGGUUCAAAUCAAUUUUAUUUAUAUAGCGGCAAAUCACCACAACAUUCGCCUCAAGGCACUUUAUAUUGUAAGGUAGACCCUACAAUAAUACAUACAGAUAUAAACCCAACAAUCAUAUGACCCCCUAUGAGCAAGCACUUUGGCGACAGUGGGAAGGAAAAACUCCCUUUUGACAGGAAGAAACCUCCAGCUGAACCAGGCUCAGGGAGGGGCGGGGCCAUCUUCUGCGACCGGUUGGGCUGAGAGAAGGAAGACAGGAUAAAGACAGAAGAGAGACAGAGAUUAAUAACAGAUAUGAUUCAAUGCAGAGAGGUCUAUUAAUACAUGGUUAGUGAGAAAGGUGACUGAAGAAGAAAUGCUCAAUGCAUCAUUGGAAUCCCCCAGCAGCCUACACCUACAGCAGCAUGACUAAGGGAGGAUUCAGGGUCACCUGAUCCAGUCUUAACUAUAUACUUUAGCAAAAUGGAAAGUUUUAAGCCUAAUCUUGAAAGUAGAGAUAGUGUCUGUCUCCAAAAUCCAAACUGGUUCCACAGAAGAGGGGCCUGAAAAGUGAAGGCUCUUCCUCCCAUUCUACUUUUAAAUACUCUAGGAGCAACAAGUAAGCCUGCAGUGCGAGAGCAAAGUGCUCUAAUAGGGUGAUAUGGUACUACAAGGUCAUUAAGAUAAGAUGAGGGCCUGAUUAUUUAAGACCUUGUAUGUGAGGAGCAGGAUUGUUAAAUUCAAUUCUGGAUUUAACAGGAGCCAAUGAAGAGAAGCCAAAACAGGAGAAAUAUGCUCUCUCUUUCUAGUCCCUGUCAGUACUCUUGCUGCAGCAUUUUGGAUUAAAUGAAGGCUUUUCAGGCAGUUUUUAGGACAUCCUGAUAAUAAUGAAUUACAGUAGUCCAGCCUAGAAGUAAUGAAUGCAUGAACUAGUUUUCCAGCGUCGCGCUGAGACAGGAUAUUUCUAGAGAUGUUGCGCAAAUGAAAGAAAGCAGUCCUACAUAUUUGUUUAAUAUGUGCAUUGAGGACAUAUCCUGGUCAAAAAUUACUUCAAGGUUCCUCACAGUGUCACUAGAGGCCAAGGUAAUGCCAUCCAGAGUAAGAAUCUGGUUAGAUACCAUAUUUCUAAAAUUUUCAGGGCUGAAUACAAUAACUUCAGUUUUAUCUGAAUUUAGAAGCAGAAAAUUAGAGGUCAUCCAGGUCUGCCCUGGGACAAACUUGUUGGACUUACAACAGAUGGAGCGCCCACAAUGUGUGGUGAAAAAAGUGAACUAUUCGGCAGGAUUCGAGUAAAAGAUGCAGGAUGUGAACUAUACGGGUGAGUUAACAGCAUAUCACUGCAUCACACACCAGCAAACGCUGUGUAGUAAAGUCCUAAAAAUGGAGCAUGUAAUGAGUACUGUAACGCAAAAGGUCAAUUUUAUUCUAGCUAAAGGUUUAAAUUACUGUCAAUUUCAGUCUUUUGUGCAGGAAAUAGAUUCAGAGUUUGCCGACAUGCCUUAUCAUACAGAGGUCCAUUGGCUGAGUUGGGGAAAAGUUCUCAAUAGUGUGUGGUGGCAGAUUUCUUUUCUCAUAUAUUAAUCACAUAUUUAAUUAUAUCACAUUAGUUAUAGUAAUAUCACUUUCUCACUUUACCAUAGUAAGAGCACUCCUGCCCAGGUAGAUGUUAUUUUAUAUAUUAUGAUUUGUAUGUUGUUCAGUAUAUUUCUAUGCAAAACAAGAGGAAUUUCAAUACACAGCAGUAUAUUCACAGUUUAAACCAGAUAUUUACAUACACUUUAUGGAAAACACAAGAACAUUUUUUUACUGUACAACAUCAAUUUAGAGUAAACUUGUUUUGUUUUGGAUAAAUAUUGAAAUAUCUUUUGAAUUAGUUAAAUGUCAGAAUAAAGAGAGACAGAGCUGUCUAUUUUUAUCACUUUCAUCAAGUUUAGAAGUACAUAUACACUAAGUUUAUUGUUCAUUAAUAAGAAAACUGCAGACGAUUCCAUUCUGAGCUUAAGAAGCUUCUGAUAGGUUAGUAGAGUCCAUGUGAGUAAAUUGAUGGCACACCUGUGCCAUCAAUUUACAUAUAAGGUAAGGUGUUUUGCCUUGUGCAUAUAAGGCAAAACACAGAGCCUGUUUCUUUGACAUGGGAAAAUCAAGAGAUGUCAACCAAAACACCAGGAAAAGAAUUGUGGAGCUCCAUAAGUGUGGCUCAAUUUUGAAUACAAUUUGGUGCCAUUUACAAUUAAGAAAUACAGAUAGUUUCUGUCUUUACUCUUAAAGUUAACAAAUAUGUUUUUUAUGUUUAUCAAUCUAAAAAAAAAUAAACAUUUAGUCUGAUUUGAUGUUACAAUUAAAAAAGUGUGUUUUUAUCUGAAGAGUAUGUAAAUAUCUGGUUUCAACUGUAUAUUUGAUGAUGUUGGUGUUUGGCUUGAUUGUCAGCACAAAGAGGGAGAGAGAGGAACAGAGACGGAGAGAGAGGAAGAGAGAGGGAGAGAGAGGAGCAGAGAGGGAACAAGAGCAGGUGAGACAGACAUGUUAGUCAAAUGGUUGUUUACCAAAAGUAUCACCGUAUCAUAGGUACUCAUGUAUCUCGUACCUAGUGUUUCUUUUUAGGUGUGUUAGUUUUCAAAUUCUAUAUUUAUUAAGUUAUGCAGGCUUGUUUGCACAACAAGGCUAAAUAAUUAUGUAAACUUUUCUGAAUCUAAAUAGUGUACUUUGGUAGAAUUAAAAAACAAGUGUAGUGCAGGUCUAUGAUGAUUUUCAGUGCUACUAUCAUCUAGUUUUGAUUCUGGUUCUGUUUUGGUUGAGUCCUAAGUAGUCCUGAUUUUGAACUGAUGUAGUCCUGUUUUAAUUCCGGAUCAGUUCUGGGUCUGGUUGAAUUGAGGCUCAGUCCUCGUGUCUUGAUACAGCCCCGACUUUGUUCUGCCUUGCUGCUUAAUUAAAAAACUAGUUUAAGGUGUCCUGCAUAUGUGAUAUAUAUUUUUCCCUAUAUGAAGUCAUUCUUUUUUGAACAAAACUCAAAACAGAGCCUAUUACUCUUUCAGUCAUUACUCCCCCCACCCCCCACCCCAAUCUCACAUGCAUACUACCCUUUAUGGCUAAUCCCCGGGUGUAUCAAAUGUCUGCCUCCGCCUCUGCUCCUGCCACUACUUUACAGGCAUGUGGAAAGUUAACACAGUGAGGCCAUUGUAAUGGGAUACAUUAAACAGAUAGUGAGAUACUCUAGGUUGCAGGACAAGAGUUUAACCUUUGUGAAGGGAAAAAAAAAGAGAUUCUGGUUUGACCAACC